Molecule: non-coding RNA, 2266 nt
Organism: Triticum urartu
Lineage: Eukaryota; Viridiplantae; Streptophyta; Magnoliopsida; Poales; Poaceae
Source: RefSeq, a predicted model, not a curated record
GCGGAACAUUUUUGCGGGUUUCGGUCUUACAAAACAAAGCCCCCACACCACAGCUCAGUAUCCCACAAACAAAACUGUAGAUCGAUUCCAUCCUCCAUGAGUUCAACUUCAACUUCAAUCUCGGUCUUAUCCCAAGGCAGCGGCGUCGCCGCCUCCGCCGCCGCCGACAUGACCGACCUAGAGAGCAUAACCCACAUGCUGCAGUGGGUGGUGCCGUUCGCCUCGCCGCCGGCGGUAGAGCAGCUGGGGCGCGCGCUGUGGGGGCUGGGCUCCCUCACCCUUGUGCUGGCCCUCACCACCGUGCUCCACCAGCCGGCCGCCGGACCUGUCUUCGCCCACUACAAGGCCGCAUACUAUACCGUCCUUGCCUUCGUCCUCUUCGUCGCCGUGCCGGUGGAGCUGGGGAUCGCCUUCUGCCUGCCCCGCUGCAGCCACGGGCGCCGGAUCCAUCAUUUUGCCAGGGUUCUCGUCCCCUGCGCUUACCUGCUGCUCCUCGUCGUCAUCUCCGUCGGUGGAUUCGUCCCCUUUAAGCUCUGAACUACCUGCUGCUCCUCGUCGUCAUCUCUGCCGGUGGAUUCGUCCCCUUUAAGCUUUGAUCUACGUGCUGCUCUUCCUCGUCGUCAUCUCCGUCGGUGGAUUCGUCCCCUUUAAGCUCUGAUCUACGUGCUGCAGGGGUUGCUAUUCUUGGAAGUUAGUCUUGUACCUCAAGGAAAUGAAGCCAGUGGUUACGAACUUACGAUCUCUUUGUCGCACACCGUAAUUUGUUAUCUAUGGGGCUGUAGCCAGUGCUGAUUUAAUGCUCAAGCGCAGUCACAAUUUCCAGAUGAUCAGCACCGACGUCUUGCCAAAGCAGCACUCGACGUGUAAGGUCGGCUUCCCGCAGCGCGGCUUCUUCCACACGGUGGUGCAGUUCGUGUGCUCGCUCGAUGUGUCAGGUCGGCUUCCCGCAGCGCGGCUUCUUCCACACGGUGGUGCAGUUCGUGUGCUCGCUCGAUGUGUCAGGUCGGCUUCCCGCAGCGCGGCUUCUUCCACACGGUGGUGCAGUUCCUGUGCUCGCUCGACGUGCUCGUGAGUGAGGCCGAGGCGCUCCGGCAGGGGUUCAAUGAGUACUCCAGCUGGCCCACCUGGCCGCAGCAUUGCAUUGACGAAAAGGAGGAUGACCCCCGGCCUCUGCAUAACAAGUGCUGAUGUAUAGCUCAAGAUCUUGCUGCUCUUGUCUCUUGAAAUUGCAAAAUGAGUUCGGGUUGCUCCAAGCAAAAAUAGUGGUCCCUGAGGAUAUGAGAUGGAAGCAGGAAUAGUUGCGCUUGUCUGACAAGUCACUGAAUCUCUUCCCCAGGCCUAAUUGCAGCGGUCACCCUUUGUCACUAAGCACCACAUGCUACUGCCCAAGUUUUUGAACUGUACGCCUCUGUCUAUCUACUAGACAUGCGUGCCCCUUAUAUUUUGUUGUACUGCUGAUAUUUCAUCAAGAAAAACAUCAAGCUACUGCGUGUUAUGCUCUCACUCUGUGGCCUGCGGGACAAGGAUGUCAAGAAUGCUUUUGGUGUCUCACAUAAUACGAACAGCAAAAGGUGUACUCUGCUUUCUUGUUUACCGCGGCCACAAUUUCCAAGUGGUCUGCAUUGACGUCUUGCCAAAGCAGCGCUCAACGUUUCUGGUCGGCUACCCGCAGUGUGGCUUCUCCCACAUGGUGGUGCAGGUUCUGUGGUUGCUUGUUGUGCCCUUCGAAACGCUCAAUGUGCUCGCUGACGAGGCGCUCCAGCAGUGGCUCAAGGAGUACUCAAGCUGGCACACCUCCCCGCAGCUCUACAUCGAAUUCGAGUUCUUCAGAGGGUGUGACAUCACAGUUGGUAUGUAAAUAUGAGGUUUGCUCUCUGGCUCUGCCUUCCCUUCUCCCACGAUUAUGGCAGUCUCAAAUGUUUAAUGGUUUAUUUCUUCACAUUCAGUAGGAUUGGAGUGCACAUGGCACUCUGUACCGGUGGAAUAUAUGCUCUCUGCCUUUCCUUCUCCCAUGAUUAUGAUUACGGUUCAAAAUUUGACUCUGCUGUAGUAGUACACGCCGAUGUUCGUUAUGAAUUGUUCCGUGAGAAACCUGUUCUUUGCAUCAGAGCAUACUAAUUCAUUCGAUGAUUGGAUGUACUUUUAGAUGAGGGCAACAUUGGUAGAUUUGACAUAUGGGGGAGUGGCAUUGUUUCAUAGUAGUUGAGUUCUUCACAUUCAAGAGAUAAACUAGGAUUGGGUUGCACUCGGCCCUCUGUUGCAGCGG